CGCCUGACCCAGGGAUCAAACCCGUAUCUCCUGCAUUAGAAGCAGACUCUUCACCACUGAGCCACCAGGGAAGCCCAUAGAGGACAAGGCCAUGGCUUGCCGACUGACAAGCAAUUUGCUUUGCUUCUGUACCAGUGAGGCAUGCUGGAAAUCCAUCUUCUGGAAUUUGUUGAAAAUGACAUAAUCUGACUUCGGUAUUGACCAUCUGGUGAUAUCCAUGUGUGGAGUCUUCUCUUGUGUUGUUGGAAGAGGGUAUUUGCUACGACCAGUGCAUUCUCUUGGCAGAACUCUACUAGCCUUUGCCCUGCUUCAUUCUGUACUCCAAAGCCAAAUUUGCCUGUUACUCCAGACAGCAAACAAAUCUCCCCUUGGGCCCAGAGGAAGACAUUAUCUCUGUCUUCUAAGGAUGUUUGCUACACAGACAUCCCUGAAAAAAUCAGGAAAAAGCUGUUAAUGCCCUUGCCUAGAAGACAUGCAGAAAUACAAGAGAUCAAUGGAGAGCUGUCUUCCCACAAAUGACUGCUUCAGAGCCUUUGUCAGAGCCUGGGAGCCUCAACUACUGAAGCCUGCAGACCCCAGAGCCUGUGCUCCACAAGAGAAGCCACCGCAGUGAGAAGCCCUCACACCACAACUGGAGAGCAGCCACUGCUCACCUCAACUAGAGAAAAGCCCACACGCAACCGAGUCCCAGCACAGCCAACAAAUACAUUAAAGCACUACUUUAAAACUCGAUGUGAUGAACUUGAC
This is a long non-coding RNA of Bos taurus (domestic cattle), 747 nucleotides long. The record is from Ensembl. NCBI's taxonomy places the organism in Eukaryota, Metazoa, Chordata, Mammalia, Artiodactyla, Bovidae.